This 547-nucleotide ribosomal RNA is filed under the name uncultured Archaeosporales. Its description in RNAcentral is "SSU rRNA". It matches the Rfam family "Eukaryotic small subunit ribosomal RNA", at positions 548 to 1098 of the family's 1831-position model. The record is from RNAcentral. Lineage: Eukaryota; Fungi; Glomeromycota; Glomeromycetes; Archaeosporales.
UUGGAGGGCAAGUCUGGUGCCAGCAGCCGCGGUAAUUCCAGCUCCAAUAGCGUAUAUUAAAGUUGUUGCAGUUAAAAAGCUCGUAGUUGAAUUUUAGGCCUGGCCGGGCGGUCCGUCUUUGGCGAGUACUGUUCUGUGUCGGGUCUUACCUUCUGGUAAACCGGCAUGUUCUUUUAUUGUGUGUGCCGUGGGAACCAGACCAUUACCUUGAAAAAAUUAGAGUGUUUAAAGCGGGCUUUUGCUUGAAUAGAUUAGCAUGGAAUAAUAAAAUAGGACGUUGGUUCUAUUUUGUUGGUCUAGGACCACCGUAAUGAUUAAUAGGGAUAGUUGGGGGCAUUAGUAUUCAAUUGUCAGAGGUGAAAUUCUUGGAUUUAUUGAAGACUAACUUCUGCGAAAGCAUUUGCCAAGGAUGUUUUCAUUAAUCAAGAACGAAAGUUAGGGGAUCGAAGACGAUCAGAUACCGUCGUAGUCUUAACCAUAAACUAUGCCGACUAGGGAUCGGAUGAUGUUAAUUUUUUAAUGACUCAUUCGGCGCCUUACGGGAAAC